AUGACUAAACUAUAGUAUCUAAGGAUAAGCACUGAGUGAUAAAAUUAUUAAAAUAUUCAAAAAAGUGAUUACCAUAAAAGUCAGGAUACUGGUAUGUUAUCAUAAUGGUUAUUUAAAGUGGGAAGUCGGUCGGGCACAGUGGCUCAAGCCUGUAAUCCCAGCACCUUGGGAGGCCAAUGCAGGCAGGUCACUUGAGCUCAGGAAUUCGAGACCAGCCUGGCCAACGUGGUGAAACCCCGGCUGCACUAAAAAUAGAAAAAUUAGCUGGGCAUAGUUUCAUGCACCUUUAGUCCCAGCUACUCAGGCUGAGGCAGAAGAACUGCUUGAACCUGGGAGGCAGAAAUUGCAGUGAGCCGAGAGCCACUCCACUCCAACCUGGGCAACAGAGCAAGACUCCGUCUCCAGAAAAAAAAGAGAGAGAAGGGGGUUAGGAUUGGAAUGGGACACACAAAAAGGACUUCUAAGGUAAGGAGCUGGUUGAAUUCAAGCAUGCAAAACCCAUGGGUAUAGAAGGCCAACUGUAAUAAUUUUGUCUGCUCCAUGAAGAAUAACGAAUAGACUCAAAGGGAUAAUCAAAGAAGCAGCAAGACCACUUAGGAAGCUCCUGCAAUCAUCCAGGAGAUUAUUUUAAACUUGAUGGAUCAAUCCUCUUAAGGAUAACGAAUUUGGAUUUGCAAGAAUUCAAGGCAAUUCCGGGUAACAUUUUUUUCUUCACUUCAAAAUUAUAAAAUUUAAAGAUCUCAUAAAAUCAACAGAGUAUGAGAAGAAUAAUUAAAUAUGAGCCAUAAUUAUUUGGACUUUUUGGUUAGUUUCAGUUGGUCACAUACAUGAUUUUAUCAUGUUGUAUAUCUGCGUGUAUCAGUUAGGUUCACAAGAUAAACUCUAGGGCCAAAUACUUAAUGCCCUUUCAUAUUGGAAAUGCUUCUAUUAAAGAUACAUAAGACAGGCUGGGCAUGGUGGCUCACGCCUGUAAUCUCAGCACUUUGGGAGGCUGAGACGGGCAGAUCACUUGACAUCAGAAGUUUGAGAACAGCCUGGCCAACAUUGUGAAACCCCGUCUCUACUAAAUAUACAGAAAAUUAGCCAGACGUGGUGGCGCAUGCCUGUAAUCUCAGCCACUUGGGAGGCUGAGACAGGAGAAUCGCUUGAACCCAGGAGGUGGAGGUUGCAGUGAGCCUGUAAUAAGGGUUAAAAAGAAAAAAAAAAAAGUUUUCCUCUGCUUAGCAGCUCAAUUCAAGAACAGUUAUAACACUGUCCAAAAAGCCAAGGACAGAGGAAUGGGCUCCAGACACCCCCGCCCCCUCCAGAGCAAGGUUAAGGAAAAAAAAAAGAGAGAGAAAGACAAAUUCCUUUAUUGUUACUCCUUUCCCUUGCCUCUUAAGCAUAACGGUGUUUUACAAAUGCCUGUAUUUAGCCAAUUCUUGUUUUUCUUUUGACACAGCUAAAAGGCCACCAGCUAUGCAAGGCCACAAGUUAUGCACUAUAUGAUUAACUACCUUUGUUUUGCUCUUAUGAGCCCACUUAUAAAAACCUCGCUCUGUCUUUAUUCAAGGCCCAGCUUUUUGGAGGUAAAUCCACUGAGCCGGUGUGUACCUCACAAUAAAUAUCCUCCUGUAUUCACGCAUACUGGUCUCUCUAAUCCUCUGCGUCCCGCAACAAGCUGAGAGCGCGCCACUGCACUUGCAGUCUUGCACAUAGCAAGACUAUGUCUCAACAACAACAAAAAAGGUCACCAUACUGGCAGCUUACCAGAUUGAAGAUGCCAGUAAUAUGUUAGUGUGGUUUGCAAGAAACUUC
Molecule: long non-coding RNA, 1797 nt
Filed under: Homo sapiens (human)
Lineage: Eukaryota; Metazoa; Chordata; Mammalia; Primates; Hominidae
Description: HSALNT0354230
Source: RNAcentral